This 1499-nucleotide long non-coding RNA is filed under the name Ficedula albicollis (Collared flycatcher). RNAcentral describes it as "lncRNA (ENSFALG00000028876.1)". The record is from RNAcentral. Lineage: Eukaryota; Metazoa; Chordata; Aves; Passeriformes; Muscicapidae.
CAAGUGGCUUCUAAAUCAUGAGAGCUGACAUUGCUACAACUCUGUCAGUUUAGACACCAUGGGCAGAUUUUUAUAACCUCAUCUCCACACAUCUCAACCCAUUGCUCCCUGUAUCCUGCUGACCCGACAAGGACAAGCAACCAUCUCUGUGCAGAGGGACAGUGUAGACUUUGUGAAGGGACUGUAAGCAGCUACCACUGGUUUUGAGGACUCAAGUUGGAGAACAUCAGAGCAGAGUCAAUGCCACAGAAACAGGAUCUCUCCUGGUUGAGUUUCUACUUCACGCAAAUAAAGAGCAGGAACGCCUGCAAGUCCCCACUACACCAAAAGACCUGGAGAUUCUCCUAUGGCAUUCAGGAAACCCCACUCGGAAAAUGGGAAAAAAAUCUGACCACAUUUAAAAUACAUCCUGCAGUCAAUGCAUUGCACUACUGUGAUAACUACAGUGUUAACAUCUGCAUUUCCUGCUGAGAGUUUGUGCAAUUACAAGGCACAGAUCUUCAGUGUAAAGGUUCCACUACUGUGAUAACUACAGUGUUAACACCUGCAUUUCCUGCUGAGAGUUUGUGCUAUUACAAGGCACAGAUCUUCAGUGUAAAGGUUUGCAUUUCAGUCAUGGAGAAGCAAGAAGCAGAGCUGCUAUACAUCACCCAGGAUGACAUCAGCAGUGCUGUAGAAAGAGAAAGUUGAUAAACCUUUGCCGGAAGAUAUGGAUCAAAAUCUGAUUAGUAAAACUCAAGGUUAAGUAAAUAUGAAAGAGAAUUUAAUAGUCUGCUCCUUCCCAUUCUGUUUCAGUGGUGUGAUCUAUCAUUUCAAAAGAAGCACCAUCAUUAUUUUGGAAAUCUGACUCCUCCAUGGGAUUUUAGGCUCAAUAUCACAUUCCCAGUUAACAACACAGUGUUUACCUGGAUAGAUCUUUUAAAAAGUCAUGUGGAUCUCCUAGAUCAGAAUGACAAAUCUUCCUAUUAUUCACUUGUAGCUUUAGUGUAUGAACUGAAAAAAGACUUGAGGGAGAAGGGUUGGAAUAAGGCUAUCACAUCGGGAUAAGGUUCUGCUCUUAGUUUUUAACCAUCUCUUUAAAAUAUUUUCAGGAUUCACCAGACAAACAGGAUUUCAUACAGAAAAUGCUGAUUCAAACCAGACAGAAAACACAUCCCUUUCUGUUACCAUGGGUACACUGGAAGAGCUUUUUGCUUCCUGUAGUGUUACAAUACCACACCACUGACACCACAAUGCAAAGAGCAAAAUAUGAUAGAAGAAAGAGCAGCUACCGUGGGCAUGCCAUCAAGACAUGAAGCCCUACCACCCCAACACCCCAAAAUCCCCAAACAACCCCUGCAACAAUAGUUUGUCCCUAAAUGGUAAGCUUAAAAGGUCACUAUUAAAAGCAGGAAAACAAUCUUCAAUAUGUAGUGAAUCAGAGCAUAUUUCAUAGAUGAAAUCAACCAUAUGCUGAUUCCUAAUAAGUUGAACUUAAAAAGAAAAUAUAGAAUAUGUAA